RNAcentral lists this ribosomal RNA (221 nucleotides) under uncultured bacterium. Its description in RNAcentral is "partial 16S ribosomal RNA". It matches the Rfam family "Bacterial small subunit ribosomal RNA", at positions 524 to 742 of the family's 1533-position model. The record is from RNAcentral.
UACGUAGGGGGCAAGCGUUGUCCGGAUUUAUUGGGCGUAAAGAGCGUGUAGGCGGCUUUGCAAGUCCGUUGUGAAAAACUCGAGGCUCAACCUCGAGACGCCGGUGGAAACUGCAAAGCUAGAGUCCGGAAGAGGAGAGUGGAAUUCCUGGUGUAGCGGUGAAAUGCGCAGAAUAUCAGGAAGACACCCGUGGCGAAGGCGGCUCUCUGGGACGGGUACUG